Molecule: long non-coding RNA, 400 nt
Filed under: Homo sapiens (human)
Lineage: Eukaryota; Metazoa; Chordata; Mammalia; Primates; Hominidae
Description: non-protein coding lnc-RELL1-7:1
Source: RNAcentral
AAGCGACCAUGCCCUGUGAGGUAUGGCCACCGCAACACCGAGGCACUCUUUAUUAAACACCGAAACUUGGGUUCUGGCACCCCUUUCAGACAUGAAUCAGCUUCGUUCCUCCUCCAGGGCCUCCCUCUGGUGGCUCUGGUUCCCACUGCUCCACUCCACACCCUCUAACAGGGUGCUACAGGACCUGGGAGGAAGAGCCCUUCUUUGCGGAAUGCUAGACUGGACAGGGAAGAACGCCUCAAGUGAGCACGCCUACAACUCCAGUAAACACCCUGCGCACGCUCCCCCACAACCCCCGUGUGCUAGCACGCCAAUGCACAUGCGGACAGCCCACCCCAAGGGAAGAAUCAGAGAAGAAGGAACGCAAGACCCCGGAAGUAUGGCAGCAUAUAAAACCCCA